GUCCAGGUGCCACAGAAGCUCCCAUGAGUUCUGGUGGGUUGGGCUGGAAUCCAGGGUUGACCCAGCCAUCCCUCUAGAGAGUUCUGAAUGUGGGAGGGAGGCCACCCUCUGACUUCCUGGUCAGCUUUAUCGUUCUUUUUCUGGAUAGAUUCAGCAUAUCCCUUUGGUGUUUUCAUUUUCAAUGAAAUUUCCUGGGGCAGCUUCACCAUCUUCACCUGUUGCACAGCUAGGUGGGUUGAAGGAUGAAGUUUGGGGGUUUCGGGUUAAGCUGUUUCUGGGCACACAAAACAGGCAAAACAGAGCAGCCUCCUGAAUGCCCGUGUCCCAGAUGGAGACCCCAGGGGCAAGAGUCCUUUCUCCUGCUCUCCUUCCCAGAAAAGGAUCAGAAAUCCAGGCUUCUUCUGGGGCCCAGAUUUUGCCACCAGAAGUGUUCCUGCAGGCCACCUAAGGAUGGAAUGCAAAAUUCCGUGAAACUCAACGUCUAAACCCCUGAGAGAUGCAAUCGGAAGUCAUUUCAGGAGGUGGCAACCCCAGGGGUCCGGCCUCCCGGAACAGGCCAGAAAUGGUGCAGAGAGGAAAAGAGUGAGAUGGGGGCCCUGCAUGUGGAUCACCGUUUGUGGACAGUUGAGGGCCGAUGGCUAGAAAGGCAUGUGGGGAGUGAGAGCAUUAGGUUUUCAACAUUUUUUUUCCAACAAGCUUUGUGCUGCUUGACGCUGCCAGCAACAGUUGAAGUCCCUUUUUUGAUGGGCCUGAACUUGGCAAACACUAGAGUCAGAGUGACUUCCUGGACUUCAGGGGUGCGGGGAGCUUCCCAGAAGCUUCUGUGAAUCUGUUGUCAUACCAGUAAUCUGCAAAUCACCUUGAGGAACUGUCCGUGUGGCCUGUAACUGACUUUAUUCCCAAAGAUGGAGCCGUUUAGCAAUCUCCUUGUUCGAGCAUAGCCUGGGAAGACGAUCUUACAUCAGCCAGCAGAACCAGACGAGCGAUGGUCCGCCCACCCAGACCAGGUCCUGACCCUUCUUUCUCAGCACCACGCCCUCCUGGCUGGGGGAGCAACGGGGCUGUGAGUGGGAAUAAGUCAGUCAGUCAACUGUCCCCUGGGCCCCCAUUGUUCCAAAAACGUUUGGGGACAAGAGAAGCCAGAAGAACAUGGGUCUCCUGCCCAGCAGCUCUUGCAACCCACUCCAGUUAGCCUUUGCCUGUUUGGAAAAGAAUGUAUCAAUCCUCACAUGAGUCCCUUGUGUUUGCAGUGACAAAUGGGUCACAGUGCUGGUGGCAUAUUGCUCCUGUCACAGCCCUGCCCAGGGGUAGGACGAAGCCACCUCCCCAGUGGAUGUCCUGUUGACUGUAAUAUACUUCUGUUGCCAAAUAAUGGUACUGUUUAAUUUUCCGUAAAAGGGAGACUAUAUUGUCUGAUAUGUGAUGUCAAUGGAGCUCUAAAAAUUACUAAACACUAUUAUAAAUUGUAGAAUUAUGUCUUUGUCUAAGGUUUGAUGAAGCAGGGCCAAAACAUUAGGCUUAUUUUUCUGUUUGAAAGAAGCUGAGAUCAGUUUUGCCGUUCGAGUGUUCCUUUGGCACCUUAUUAUGUAGGAAAUGUUCAAUUUUACCGAUUCACAUGACGGUAACUGAGUUUUGUUUUUGUUUUUGUUUUCGUUUUUCUUUAAACCAGUAGUGGCAUCAGUACAGAUUGUUACUCCUGUGUAUCUUGAACCUGAACAGAACAAUCUCUUCAAAACCACUCUUCGGUCAUUUCGACCUGUACGGUUUAAAGUCACAUCGUUCAUGAAUAAAAUGAGAAAAGCCGACCCUGUGACAGUGGAUUAUUUUGGGUUCUCUCUGCCCCACCUCCUCUCUGCGCAGACAGGAAACCCGUGGUCCUGUGAAUGGCAUCCCCAUCUGUGUGUUUCCUUCUCCCACAGAUAAGGCAGUAGCUGUGGAAGGAAAAUUAUGCAAAAACAAACUUAAAAAAUCAACCAAACCAACAACCCUAUCAGCUCUCCCGUGCCUUCUUCAGACAGAUGUCAGCACCGAGCGGAAGUCGAUCUCCCUGUGCCAGGCACCAUUUCUGAAAAUGUGAGAAGGAAGCUUGAUGAGUUUGAUUCCGAAGGAUUUGGGCAGUAUUACAGCAAGAGGGGAAGCCGA
Molecule: long non-coding RNA, 2142 nt
Filed under: Equus asinus (donkey)
Lineage: Eukaryota; Metazoa; Chordata; Mammalia; Perissodactyla; Equidae
Description: lncRNA (ENSEASG00005027882.1)
Source: RNAcentral